Molecule: ribosomal RNA, 322 nt
Filed under: uncultured eukaryote
Lineage: Eukaryota
Description: partial 18S ribosomal RNA
Rfam family: Eukaryotic small subunit ribosomal RNA
Source: RNAcentral
CCCUUAGAUGUUCUGGGCCGCACGCGUGCCACACUGAGUAAUUCAAUGGGUAAGGGAACGCUAGAGCAUUACCUAAUCUUGAAAUUUGCUCGUGAUGGGGAUCGACGGCUGCAAUUUUCCGUCGUGAACGAGGAAUACCUUGUAGGCGCAUGUCAUCAUCAUGCGCCGAAUACGUCCCUGCCCUUUGUACACACCGCCCGUCGCUCCUACCGAUUGAGUGAUCCGGUGAGGCUCUGGGACCUGGACGGAAAGAGCGUUUCGCUUGUUCUGUUUGGGAAACUUGGUCGAACCUUAUCAUUUAGAGGAAGGAGAAGUCGUAACA